UACGGAGGGAGCUAGCGUUGUUCGGAAUUACUGGGCGUAAAGCGCACGUAGGCGGCUUUGUAAGUUAGAGGUGAAAGCCCGGGGCUCAACUCCGGAACUGCCUUUAAGACUGCAUCGCUUGAAUCCGGGAGAGGUGAGUGGAAUUCCGAGUGUAGAGGUGAAAUUCGUAGAUAUUCGGAAGAACACCAGUGGCGAAGGCGGCUCACUGGACCGGUAUUGACGCCGAGGUGCGAAAGCGUGGGGAGCAAACAGG
This 253-nucleotide ribosomal RNA is filed under the name uncultured bacterium. RNAcentral's name for it is "partial 16S ribosomal RNA". It matches the Rfam family "Bacterial small subunit ribosomal RNA", at positions 524 to 776 of the family's 1533-position model. The record is from RNAcentral.